CGCAAUGGGCGCAAGCCUGACGGAGCAAUACCGCGUGAGGGAUGAAGGCCUUUGGGUUGUAAACCUCUUUUAUCAAGGAGGAAGUUCUGACGUGUACUUGAUGAAUAAGCAUCGGCUAACUCCGUGCCAGCAGCCGCGGUAAGACGGAGGAUGCAAGUGUUAUCCGGAAUCACUGGGCGUAAAGCGUCUGUAGGUGGUUCGAAAAGUCCACUGUUAAAAAUUGAGGCUUAACCUCAAAGAUGCCGUGGAAACUUUCAAACUAGAGUAUGGUAGGGGUAGAGGGAAUUUCCAGUGGAGCGGUGAAAUGCGUAGAUAUUGGAAAGACCACCGAUGGCGAAGGCACUCUACUGGGCCAUUACUGACUCUUAUAGACGAAAGCUA
RNAcentral lists this ribosomal RNA (381 nucleotides) under uncultured organism. RNAcentral's name for it is "bacterial SSU rRNA". It matches the Rfam family "Bacterial small subunit ribosomal RNA", at positions 367 to 762 of the family's 1533-position model. The record is from RNAcentral.